GAUGAAGAACGCAGCGAAAUGCGAUAAGUAAUGUGAAUUGCAGAAUUCAGUGAAUCAUCGAAUCUUUGAACGCACAUUGCGCCCGCCAGUAUUCUGGCGGGCAUGCCUGUUCGAGCGUCAUUUCAACCAUCAAGCCCCCGGCUUGUGUUGGGGACCUGCGGCUGCCGCAGGCCCUGAAAUGCAGUGGCGGGCUCGCUGUCACUCCGAGCGUAGUAGUUACAUCUCGCUCUGGGCGUGCUGCGGGUUCCGGCCGUUAAAAGCCUUAUUUACCCAAGGUUGACCUCGGAUCAGGUAGGAAGACCCGCUGAACUUAAGCAUACAAUAAGCGGAGGA
This 333-nucleotide unclassified non-coding RNA is filed under the name soil metagenome. Its description in RNAcentral is "partial contains 5.8S ribosomal RNA, internal transcribed spacer 2, and large subunit ribosomal RNA". The stretch from base 1 to 120 matches the Rfam family "5.8S ribosomal RNA", at positions 35 to 154 of the family's 154-position model. The record is from RNAcentral.